This 570-nucleotide ribosomal RNA is filed under the name Trentepohlia sp. TreFl96. Its description in RNAcentral is "SSU rRNA". It matches the Rfam family "Eukaryotic small subunit ribosomal RNA", at positions 412 to 991 of the family's 1831-position model. The record is from RNAcentral. Lineage: Eukaryota; Viridiplantae; Chlorophyta; Ulvophyceae; Trentepohliales; Trentepohliaceae.
CAUCCAAGGAAGGCAGCAGGCGCGCAAAUUACCCAAAUCCCAACUCGGGGAGGUAGUGACAAGAAAUAACGAUGCUCCGGCCUCACGGUCGGGUAAUCGGAAUGAGAACAAUUUAAAUCCCUUAUCGAGGAUCAAUUGGAGGGCAAGUCUGGUGCCAGCAGCCGCGGUAAUUCCAGCUCCAAUAGCGUAUAUUUAAGUUGCUGCGGUUAAAAAGCUCGUAGUCGGAUUUCGGGUGGCGCCUACCGGUCCGCCAUUGGUGAGUACUGGUAGGUACCACCUUUCUGCCGAGGACGGGGUACUGGGCUUAGUUGUCUGGGCCUCGGAUUCGGCGAUGUCACUUUGAGUAAAUUAGGGUGUUCAAAGCAGGCUUAUGCUCUGUAUACACUAGCAUGGGAAGACACGAUAGGACUUCGGUUUAUCUUGUCGGUCUGUAGAUCGGAGUAAUGAUUAAGAGGGACAGUCGGGGGCAUUCGUAUUUCGUAGUCAGAGGUGAAAUUCUUGGAUUUACGGAAGACGAACUUCUGCGAAAGCAUUUGCCAAGGAUGUUUUCAUUGAUCAAGAACGAAAGUC